RNAcentral lists this ribosomal RNA (468 nucleotides) under uncultured bacterium. RNAcentral's name for it is "partial 16S ribosomal RNA". It matches the Rfam family "Bacterial small subunit ribosomal RNA", at positions 28 to 507 of the family's 1533-position model. The record is from RNAcentral.
GACGAACGCUGGCGGCGUGCUUAACACAUGCAAGUCGAACGGAAAGGCCCUGCUUUUGUGGGGUGCUCGAGUGGCGAACGGGUGAGUAACACGUGAGUAACCUGCCCUUGACUUUGGGAUAACUUCAGGAAACUGGGGCUAAUACCGGAUAGGAGCUCCUGCUGCAUGGUGGGGGUUGGAAAGUUUCGGCGGUUGGGGAUGGACUCGCGGCUUAUCAGCUUGUUGGUGGGGUAGUGGCUUACCAAGGCUUUGACGGGUAGCCGGCCUGAGAGGGUGACCGGCCACAUUGGGACUGAGAUACGGCGCAGACUCCUACGGGAGGCAGCAGGGGGGAAUAUUGCACAAUGGGAGGAAGCCUGAUGCAGAAACGCUGCGUGCGGGAUGACGGCCUUCGGGUUGUAAACCGCUUUCGCCUGUGACGAAGCGUGAGUGACGGUAAUGGGUAAAGAAGCACCGGCUAACUACGUG